ACGGGAAUUUAUUACUCGAUUAACGCUAAGUUAGGGGAGGUAAAGGGCUCACCAAGGCGACGAUCAGUAGCUGGUUUGAGAGAACGACCAGCCACACUGGAACUGAGACACGGUCCAGACUCCUACGGGAGGCAGCAGUGGGGAAUUUUGGACAAUGGGGGCAACCCUGAUCCAGCCAUUCCGCGUGAGUGAAGAAGGCCUUCGGGUUGUAAAGCUCUUUCGCAAGGGAAGAAAACUUAUGAUCGAAUAAAUCAUGAGGUUGACGGUACCUUGAUAAGAAGCACCGGCUAACUACGUGCCAGCAGCCGCGGUAAUACGUAGGGUGCGAGCGUUAAUCGGAAUUACUGGGCGUAAAGCGUGCGCAGGCGGUUUUGUAAGUCGGAUGUGAAAUCCCCGGGCUCAACCUGGGAACUGCGUUUGAAACUACAAAGCUAG
Molecule: ribosomal RNA, 435 nt
Filed under: uncultured ammonia-oxidizing beta proteobacterium
Lineage: Bacteria; Pseudomonadati; Pseudomonadota; Betaproteobacteria
Description: bacterial SSU rRNA
Rfam family: Bacterial small subunit ribosomal RNA
Source: RNAcentral